This 253-nucleotide ribosomal RNA is filed under the name uncultured bacterium. RNAcentral's name for it is "partial 16S ribosomal RNA". It matches the Rfam family "Bacterial small subunit ribosomal RNA", at positions 524 to 776 of the family's 1533-position model. The record is from RNAcentral.
UACAUGGGGUGCAAACGUUGCUCGGAAUUAUUGGGCGUAAAGCGCACGUAGGCGGUUUGUUAAGUCGGAUGUGAAAUCCCUCGGCUCAACUGAGGAAGUGCAUCCGAAACUGGCAAGCUUGAGUACGAAAGAGGGUCGCGGAAUUCCCGGUGUAGAGGUGAAAUGCGCAGAUAUCAGGAGGAACACCCAUAGCGAAGGCAGCUUGCUGGGACGUUACUGACGCUAAGGCGCGAAAGCGUGGGGAGCGAACAGG